RNA transcript from Tarenaya hassleriana, 1574 nucleotides. It is a transcript of the gene named E3 ubiquitin-protein ligase RING1-like, with no coding region annotated. The transcript has 4 exons. Lineage: Eukaryota; Viridiplantae; Streptophyta; Magnoliopsida; Brassicales; Cleomaceae. The record is from RefSeq and is a predicted model, not a curated record.
UCUCUCUCUCUCUCUCUCUCUCUCUCUCUCUCUACGUUUCUUCUUCAUCUUAUUCUUCUUGAUUCUCGCCUUCUGAGAUUUCUCAGAUUCUCGUCAAUGUCAUCCGCCGUAAAUUUCCCCGGCUCCGCCGCAGAUGCGGACAAGGUCUUCUUCUGCCACCAAUGCAAUCGCACCGUCACUAUCCCAAUUUCAUCCUCCGCAGACCCUUUUUGUCCUCUCUGCAACGAAGGGUUCCUCGAAGAGUACGAGAACCCUAACCCUAAUCCGAGCCCCGUCCUUAACCCUAGCGGGUUUCUCCCGUUCCCCGAUCCUAUCUCGUCUCUCCUUCCGAUCUUAUUCGCGCCUUCGGCGUUGCCUUCUUCCAACGUAAUCGACUUAUUCAACCCGAGCUUUUUGGGCCAUCCGAUGCAAGGGCGGUCCUCGCCGCCGGACUCCAUCGCUUUCGACCCGGCCGCGUUUCUUCAGGACCAUCUUCAGAACCUGCGAUCGAGAGGUACCCACAUCCAGUUCAUGGUCGAGAACCACCCUUCCGGUCCUGGGUUCUCGGGGACUACUUCUUUGUUGCCUGGAAAUCUCGGGGACUACUUCUUUGGUCCGGGUCUUGAGCAGUUGAUUCAGCAGCUUGCGGAGAAUGAUCCGCACCGGUACGGGACUCCUCCGGCCUCGAAAUCCGCCAUUGAUGCGCUCCCGACUGUGAAGGUAACGGAGGAUAUGUUGAAUUCGGAUAUGAACCAGUGCGCCGUUUGUAUGGAUGAGUUCGAGAAGGGUAGUGCUGCGAAGCAGAUGCCUUGCAAGCACGCAUAUCAUCAAGAUUGUUUGCUUCCAUGGCUGCAACUGCACAACUCUUGCCCUGUUUGUCGGUAUGAGUUACCGACAGACGACCCUGAUUAUGAAACCAGGACUCAUGGAGCUCAGGAAAGUGGUGACGGACAGGGAUCGGGUGGGAACCAACCAACGCCUAGGAGGUUUAGUAUAUCAUUGCCAUGGCCAUUCAGGAGACAAGAUGGAGGCUCGGGCUCUGGUUCAGGAUCUGGUGCGCCUGGAAAUGGUGGUGGUGGAGCUGACUUGGAGGAGACUAGACAAGAAGAUUUGGAUUGAGGACAUGAUUCAGGAGUUAUUUGGUACUUAAAGUGGAAGAGAAGAAUGAUCUGCUGUUAAUUGUUUUUAGGCAGGUAGGUAUUGGUAGAGUGCAUGGUAGCUACUUUGACCCGCGAUGUAAGGGGCCACGGACACAAAGCCGAUGCUUUUUUGCCACCCUUCUGCCUCUUCAUCCUAACUAUGUGUUAAUACAAUCCGCAGAUGUUUGCUUGGAGGAAAGAUAUGGUCAAAGAUCACAAAUUGCGAGAAAGCUGAAGCAAGUGCGUUUUCAUAACUCUUUUCUUUUGUCCCAUGGAAACUUCAUGUUGUAUCAGCGAGGCUCUGUACUUGUAGAAAAGGAGUUUUUUCUUCUAUUUUUCGGGUAUACAUCCGAGACUUUGAAAUUGUCAUUUUCCUUUUUUUGUAUUGAUGCAUUUGUGAAGAUUACUUUGUAUCCAUACUCUCUCUCGUGUACAUAUGAUUGUUAAUUAAUUAUA